RNAcentral lists this ribosomal RNA (466 nucleotides) under uncultured bacterium. RNAcentral describes it as "bacterial SSU rRNA". It matches the Rfam family "Bacterial small subunit ribosomal RNA", at positions 338 to 795 of the family's 1533-position model. The record is from RNAcentral.
CCUACGGGGGGCAGCAGUAGGGAAUCUUCCGCAAUGGACGAAAGUCUGACGGAGCAACGCCGCGUGAGUGAUGAAGGUUUUCGGAUCGUAAAACUCUGUUGUUAGGGAAGAACAAGUACCGUUCGAAUAGGGCGGCACCUUGACGGUACCUAACCAGAAAGCCACGGCUAACUACGUGCCAGCAGCCGCGGUAAUACGUAGGUGGCAAGCGUUGUCCGGAAUUAUUGGGCGUAAAGCGCGCGCAGGCGGUUUCUUAAGUCUGAUGUGAAAGCCCCCGGCUCAACCGGGGAGGGUCAUUGGAAACUGGGGAACUUGAGUGCAGAAGAGGAGAGUGGAAUUCCACGUGUAGCGGUGAAAUGCGUAGAGAUGUGGAGGAACACAAGUGGCGAAGGCGACUCGCUGGUCUGUAACUGGCGCUGAGGCGCGAAAGCGUGGGGAGCGAACAGGAUUAGAUACCCCCGUAGUC